Alexandromys fortis (reed vole) is the source of this 841-nucleotide long non-coding RNA. RefSeq lists it as uncharacterized. The record is from RefSeq and is a predicted model, not a curated record. NCBI's taxonomy places the organism in Eukaryota, Metazoa, Chordata, Mammalia, Rodentia, Cricetidae. The transcript has 3 exons.
UCCCACUCCAGACAGACGCAGGUUAAGAUCCUCCCUGCUCAUCCAUCUGGUGUCAACUCCUGUGACAGCGGUGGGCUAGUGCAUCGAGGCCCUGUGGCAGAAGCUGAGGCCCUGUAAAGCCCCGUCACGGGGAUGUCCACUGAAGAUCCUGAAAUGGCUAACCCAUCUGUCCAGGUCACCUGACUAAGCGAUCACAGAAGGAUGGGAAACUCCAACAAGAGCUCUACUUGCUUUCCAGGUGGUCACACCACUUCUGUAGGGACCGUGAGACACAGAAGGAAAUGGCCCAUUCUGGGCUCAACCUGGCCUGCAACUGCCUCCCCUGCACGCUUCCCCUCACUGCCACGCUCCACACUGACACUCGAGGUGACCUUGAAAGCAGUAAAUAAAGAAGCAUUGGCUGGGGCACCUGGCGAUGUUGAAAGGAGUGACUCUGUGCCUGCUACCUCUACAUCUGAAAGGAAAAGCACACUGUGUCACGCUCUCAGCCUCAGCUGUAUCGUUAGAGCACUGGCCUUUCUUCAACAGCUAUGCCCACCACUCAAGCCUCAGCAACCAUGUCCCACUAGGAGAAAUGAAAAGCCAGAUACCCUCUGACCCAGAGGCGUGCAUGUGUCCUUGACUGUGGUGCUCUGAUCUACUUAACCUAGACUCGGACUGAACUGACUGCACAGAGAGGCCAGUGAUGGGCACAUGUAGGAGGAGAGGUCGUGGUAGAAGCUGUUUCUCUGCUCUCAGGGGACAGAGGUAUCCGAGGGUUCAAGCUCGGGGAUCAGCGAUGUGGGGGCAGCCCUGGGUCCUUUGCAGCUGGCAUGUGAGUUUAAGGUUUAUGUAAGUGUGU